Non-coding RNA from Onychostoma macrolepis, 1521 nucleotides. The record is from the annotation of a RefSeq genome assembly. Lineage: Eukaryota; Metazoa; Chordata; Actinopteri; Cypriniformes; Cyprinidae.
CUGCAACACAUGUAUUAAAUGUUCUCAGCUUCAAAAUCUGAAUGAAACUGAUCGUUAAAACGGUGUUUGGAGGAAGAACUUGACCCAAAAUAAUUAAAUGACAUGCAGUAAAUCAUAAGUGUUUGUUUCUGAAAACUGAAAAAAAAAAAAAAAAACUUAAAAUAAAACUAAUUUAUUAGCAAAGAUGCUAAAGGCCAAAACGGUUUAUCUGCUGUCUUCAGGUAAAUGAUCUGGAGUGUGUUUGCAUAUUGAUCAGAUGCUUCAGUGCUCUGAGAGUGUUUAUAGUGCUGUGAGUUUAACACUUCAUCACUGACACACACAACAAUCUUCAUCAACAUGACCUUCAUCAUCAUCUUCAUCUGGACUCUCACAGCGUUUGCUCAAGAGUGUAGAGGACAGAUCACCGUCACUCAGAGUCCCUCAACGACAGCAGCUCGACCAGAAGAAACAGUCAAAAUCAGCUGUAAAACCAGCACAGAUGUGUACAAUUUGUUAGAUGCUUUUGAUUGUUUAGCCUGGUACUUACAGAAACCUGGAGAAGCUCCUAAACUCCUGAUUUAUUACGCAAACACCCUCGAGUCAGGAACUCCAUCUAGAUUCAGUGGCAGUGGAUCUAAGAGUGAUUUCACUCUGACCAUCAGUGGAGUCCAGACUGAAGAUGCUGGACAUUAUUACUGUCAGAGUUUACACUGCAGAACAGAUUCUGAUGGUGAUUGUGUGGGUGAUCGUGUGUUCACACAGUGAUAAAGAGUCGUACAAAAACCUCCUUCAGUCAGAGUCACAGAGACUGAACUGAUCCUGCAGCUGCUCAGAGGAGGAUCUGAAACAACAUCGUCAGACAUGCAUCUGAAAUAAAAUCAUAUAAAUGAAUAUGUCGCUCUUAAUAAUCAUAGAGAUCAAAGCAUUAGUCAAGAGAAACAACUAGACAGAGAGUCCAUCAGAGUCUGUAUCAGACCCACAAACACUCAGACACAGUUGUGUUGGUCUUUGAUUAUUAUUUUUGUCUUUUUCUUCUCCCACACUUUGGAAUUGUGUGUUUUAUUAUUUCCUCAGAUUCAUAAUUUCUGUAUGGAGAGUAAUAAUGUGUUAAAACUGGACUAAUUGAAUCUGCACAGCUUUGAGAUUUUGUGCUCUUAUAGAUCAGAGACACGACUGAGAUCUGACUGAUUUUUGACAAUUACGCAUUACCUCACUCGUGCUUAGUACAUGUAAGUGUGAACUCGUGAAAUGACAAUUUAUUGUGUAAAAUUCACGAUUGUGUCUACAGAGCCUUCAGAUACAAGCACUGCCACAGCUCCAACUUGACGUGACCUCUGACCUCUGCCAAUAUGAGUGAUUCUGUACAGUUUUAACUGAACUUUAACUUUUGCUGAACUUCUCCACAAAACUAUGAGAAGGUGCAAACCGUUAUCUGAUGAUAACAUGAUCUGAUCAAUCUGUGAACUGAUGAAUAUGAACAAACCUCGUCUCUCUGUUAGUCAAACUGACUCAAUUCACAGAAUAAAGAGUGAAACAGUGAAA